Molecule: ribosomal RNA, 466 nt
Filed under: uncultured bacterium
Lineage: Bacteria
Description: partial 16S ribosomal RNA
Rfam family: Bacterial small subunit ribosomal RNA
Source: RNAcentral
GAUGAACGCUGGCGGCGUGCUUAACACAUGCAAGUCGAACGGAAAGGCUCCUGCUUUCAGGGGUACUCGAGUGGCGAACGGGUGAGUAACACGUGGGUGAUCUGCCCUGCACUUCGGGAUAAGCCUGGGAAACUGGGUCUAAUACCGGAUAGGACGAUGGUUUGGAUGCCAUGGGGGAAAGUUUUUUCGGUGUGGGAUGAGCUCGCGGCCUAUCAGCGUGUUGGUGGGGUAUUGGCCUACCAAGGCGUCGACGGGUAGCCGGCCUGAGAGGGUGUCCGGCCACAUUGGGACUGAGAUACGGCCCAGACUCCUACGGGAGGCAGCAGUGGGGAAUAUUGCACAAUGGGCGGAAGCCUGAUGCAGCGACGCCGCGUGGGGGAUGACGGCCUUCGGGUUGUAAACUCCUUUCGCUAGGGACGAAGCGCAAGUGACGGUAACUGGAGAAGAAGCACCGGCUAACUACGUG